Molecule: non-coding RNA, 485 nt
Organism: Megalopta genalis
Lineage: Eukaryota; Metazoa; Arthropoda; Insecta; Hymenoptera; Halictidae
Source: RefSeq, a predicted model, not a curated record
ACCGAAGUAAUGAGAAAGCAUUUGGGUCGUGACGUACCCGACGUCCGGCAAUUGCAGCGCAACGUUCGCUUCGGCGAUAGCGAACGACCACCAUAGCAUCGACGGCGUCAGGUUUCGUCACGGUCGCCGUUGUCAACGUCGGAGGAAUCCACGUCGAACUCGACGACGCGGAAUUGCCUUUGGAAACUUCGAUGGAUCGUCGGGAAAUUUGUGUUCUCGUCGAUAUUCUUUCACGAAGCAAACUUCGAGGGAUCAUCUGGAAAUAUUUAUUCUCAACAGAGGAACACGCGAGCGUUUAUUACACACGGCGGUCUCAUGGGCAGUUAGGAAGCAAUCUAUUAUGGAGUUCCUAUGAUAGGAAUUCCAUUAUUCGCUGAUCAAAUGAAGAACGUUAACAUUUUUCCUCGGAAAAACGUGACGAUCCCGAUGCGCCUGGAAAAUAUCACUGAACGGACAAUGGUUUGAAAGCCGUCUUGCACGAUCCG